Molecule: ribosomal RNA, 468 nt
Filed under: uncultured bacterium
Lineage: Bacteria
Description: partial 16S ribosomal RNA
Rfam family: Bacterial small subunit ribosomal RNA
Source: RNAcentral
GACGAACGCUGGCGGCGUGCUUAACACAUGCCAGUCGAACGGAAAGGCCCUGCUUUUGUGGGGUGCUCGAGUGGCGAACGGGUGAGUAACACGUGAGUAACCUGCCCUUGACUUUGGGAUAACUUCAGGAAACUGGGGCUAAUACCGGAUAGGAGCUCCUGCUGCAUGGCGGGGGUUGGAAAGUUUCGGCGGUUGGGGAUGGACUCGCGGCUUAUCAGCUUGUUGGUGGGGUAGUGGCUUACCAAGGCUUUGACGGGUAGCCGGCCUGAGAGGGUGACCGGCCACAUUGGGACUGAGAUACGGCCCAGACUCCUACGGGAGGCAGCAGUGGGGAAUAUUGCACAAUGGGCGGAAGCCUGAUGCAGCAACGCCGCGUGCGGGAUGACGGCCUUCGGGUUGUAAACCGCUUUCGCCUGUGACGAAGCGUGAGUGACGGUAAUGGGUAAAGAAGCACCGGCUAACUACGUG